GAGUUUGAUCCUGGCUCAGGAUGAACGCUAGCGGCAGGCUUAAUACAUGCAAGUCGAGAGGCAGCAUGACUGUAGCAAUACAGUUGAUGGCGACCGGCAAACGGGUGCGGAACACGUACAGAACCUUCCUUCGAGCGGGGAAUAGCCCAGAGAAAUUUGGAUUAAUACCCCAUAGUAUAACGGAGUGGCAUCACUUUGUUAUUAAAGAUUUAUCACUUGAAGAUGGCUGUGCGGCUGAUUAGGUAGUUGGCGGGGUAACGGCCCACCAAGCCUACGAUCAGUAACUGGUGUGAGAGCACGACCAGUCACACGGGCACUGAGACACGGGCCCGACUCCUACGGGAGGCAGCAGUAAGGAAUAUUGGUCAAUGGACGAAAGUCUAGAACCAGCCAUGCCGCGUGGAGGAUGAAGGCCUCUGGGUUGUAAACUUCUUUAUAUGGGACGAAAAAAGGCUUUACUAGGUCACCUGACGGUACCAUAUGAAUAAGCA
Molecule: ribosomal RNA, 491 nt
Filed under: uncultured Sphingobacterium sp.
Lineage: Bacteria; Pseudomonadati; Bacteroidota; Sphingobacteriia; Sphingobacteriales; Sphingobacteriaceae
Description: bacterial SSU rRNA
Rfam family: Bacterial small subunit ribosomal RNA
Source: RNAcentral